UCGGUGGGGGCUCGAUCUCAUUACAGGGAUGCCGGCGACGCGGCGACACAAGUGGUCCACGAUGGGAUCCAGUGUUCGCUGGUCUUCCCAGUGGAUCGAGCUGAGGCGCUCAAGGCGAUCCAGUGGCGCGCGGCCUUCUCAGUGGAUCCAGCCGAGGCGCUCAAGGUGAUCGAGCGGCGCGCUGCCUUCUCAGUGGAUCCAGCCAAGGCGCGCCAGGGAAUCAUCCUAGGGUUUGGAGUUGGUGACCGAGGAGGAGGCGGCACCGGCGAUGGUGCGCAAGCCGUGCACGAGGCCACAGCGACUCCACAAAGUCUGCUUUGCUCUCCCCGACCCUCGGUGGCGUGCUCUCCGAUCUCCACUCCCUCCUUCUCUCCAUGCUCGCCGCAUCGCUGCCCUCCCCAUCACCAUGGCGACGAUGUUCUAAAGACUCGAUGUCAUUGACCCUCAUCAAGGCAUCUAACAUGGAGCGACCUGUUAAUGUCGUCGACACAUAUUUUCUAUUUGAUCAUGCUCCUGGAAGAACUGAUUUAGAGUGCCAUAUCUACAGUUGAUGUCAUCAAUGAUCCAGUAGCUCAUUUAUAGAAAAUCCUCUAUCUAUUAUGCUCAUCUCUCACGAUGAAAUUUUGGCUCAGAUUUCCUGUCAGGUUUGCCCAGGAAAGCGUUGAAAGAAGACAGAUAAUAUCUUUCAAUAUGCACAUAUCCCCAGAAAGCAAUUUGGUAAUAUCGUAUUUGUUUAUUAGAAUAUGUUUGCACAACUCCAUAAAGUUCUGAAGAAUAGUUAGAAGUGAUUAUGAUGAACAUGUGUAGCUGACAAAACAGCUACCCUUGAUGAUUAUUUUACCCCAUCAACCAGGUGAAUGCUAUAUGUACCUGAAGUAUUUGUUCGGGAUGUUUUCUCUCUCUUAUGGACACAAAUAUCUAGCUUCUAAGAACUAAUAAAUAUGCACAUUAUGUUGUACAUAAAAAUGAUAAUGUUUUUAUGAUUGAGCACAUGUAGAUAAAGGAAAUAAUUAUUUCAGAUAAAUCAUUUGUCUUUUAUAGUUAUAAUAUUUAUUACUAUAGAAGCAGAAUCCGAUUUUCUUAUCUAGCUGCAGCAGUGAGAUAAAUCUUGUAUGCACUUGCAUAGUUUAGGUUUUCGUUGUAAUUAUACGUACUAUAUUGUGAUUGUGGUCUUCAUUUUUAUGACUUCUGCUCUUUGUGUCAAUAUACACUUUCCCGGAAUAAAUAUCAAUUAUUUAGUUUUCAUUUUUUUAUCAAGUGAAGCAGCAACACAUCUAUGUUUUUAUCAUCUGGGAUGUUUGGAACUUUAUUAUCAUUGACUGAUUGCGUACCUUUGUUUUCAAACACUGGCUGGGCUCAAGAAUCCUACUUGGCUUAUUUGGAGAAGCAUAUGUAAGCUAUAUUUGAUAAAUGCUCUCAGCCUUAGGUUGCUAACAUUGGAAAGGUGGACAUAUAAUCUGGUCACUUCUUGACUCCGAGAGUUAGGCUGUUUGAGAAGAUUGUAAGCUUAUGGAACUGUCUGCCUCUUACAUGCUGCAUGCCAACUUAAUUUUAAACAAAUUAGAUGGUCUCAUAAUUGAUGAUGAAUACUGGAUUCUUGUGGCUCCAUGCUGAUUUUUCUUGAUACUUUUGGGUAGAAUCAAAUAAAUAAAAUAUUCUGACUCCUCCAGUUUAUAUGGUUAUGGUCUGGCUUGAUAGUUCGAUGGUGUACGUGUCUGCUAUAUUCAUUGUUAUACAGUAAUGAUGUACUAAAUCUAUUUCUGCUCCUAAAUUAGAAAAUUUCGGGAGUACUAACAUGAAGUACUAAUACAUUUCAAAAUUACUGACAGUAUAUUUCAUAUCUAAUUCACCAAAUGUUAUCAUAUCAUGUAUUUACUGUUUGGGUUAGUAUCACAAUGAAAAUACUCAUGAUUGUUCUGUCAUAUAGAUUCUUAAAUGGUCUAUAUGGAUUCACUUUCAAAUCACUAACUAUAUUAUUGAGUUCUCAGUCUCACUUCAGUUGCCGGAUGAUCUUUGGACAUGACAAAAACUACAUGAGUUUUUCAGCCCAAUUUUCACCCACUUGCUAGAUGUCUAUUGAAUCAGAGAAAUAUGAAAAAUAAGUAACUUGGAUGCUUUUGUCUGGACCUGCUUUACAAUUGAAUGAUUAUUUUGAUAAUUUGUUGUAGCAUGAUGUACGCGUUCUAACUGAAAUAUGGUGACUGAACUGAAGCAAGUUAACUAACUAUAUAUUUAUUUAUCUAGAGGCAAUUGCAUAUUUUGUGUUGUACAAAUUGACAAGCUGCAGGAGUUAGCUGAGGGAAGCUGCAUCUAUUUCUCCCUAAAGAGAAAAACACAUCUAUACUUUGCCAUGGUGCACCACAGUAGCUUAUCCAAGGGCUCUAUGGGCAUCUCCAAUGCUGGGCGCUUGGAGAGGCGCCAGGGAUUUUUUCCUGAUGAUAUCCUGGUCGAUGGGCAGUUGGAGCGGUCAAAUCCUAGCAUCGGACACCAGCGAGCGCAAAAGGUUGCGUUGGACGCUUCCUUCCUUUUCCCCUCGCAUGCGCCGCAUAGUUAGUUUAAUUAGCGUACAAUUAGCGUCCAUGGUUAGCAUCUAGCGUUGGAAGGUCAGGCUCUUAGAUUUUUCUAAUUAAAUACUAUUAAUUUGUUUCCUUCGUAAGCGCCAGGUCAGGCACCUGGCAUUGUAGAUGUCGUAAGAUAGCGUAUGCCUCAGCUUUGCCUCACAUGAAGUCCAUCACAACCGAACACGGUUCUGCUUGUUUCUAGAACUUACAACUACUAAAACUUAUCAUAUCCGCUCCAUUAUUUGGCAACCUAGGCCGAGAAAGCCAUGAUGUUUCCUUUGUGUAUUCUAAAUGGGCUGCUGUGUUGGAUGGAAUAACACAACCUCCUUUUAUUUGCAUGCAAAAGAAACAGAGAGCUUGUUAAGACUUUACGAUUUGUAUUUAACCCAGGACACACUAUGAGCAUAUGACCAUUUUAACAAUAAGUAGUUUCUGUUAAAUAUACUCCUUUAUGAAAUGCUGUUAUGACGUUGGGGGUAAAUUCUUAUGAUGUAACUGUACAUUGUUAGAACACAUGUAUAUCUUGUGCCGAUUGUGAUUAUUUACUUU
Molecule: long non-coding RNA, 3110 nt
Organism: Triticum dicoccoides
Lineage: Eukaryota; Viridiplantae; Streptophyta; Magnoliopsida; Poales; Poaceae
Exons: 4
Source: RefSeq, a predicted model, not a curated record